This 184-nucleotide small nuclear RNA is filed under the name Maylandia zebra (zebra mbuna). Its description in RNAcentral is "U2 spliceosomal RNA (ENSMZEG00005028219.1)". It matches the Rfam family "U2 spliceosomal RNA". From Rfam's summary of the family: U2 is a small nuclear RNA (snRNA) component of the spliceosome (involved in pre-mRNA splicing). Complementary binding between U2 snRNA (in an area lying towards the 5' end but 3' to hairpin I) and the branchpoint sequence (BPS) of the intron results the bulging out of an unpaired adenosine, on the BPS, which initiates a nucleophilic attack at the intronic 5' splice site, thus starting the first of two transesterification reactions that mediate splicing. The record is from Rfam by way of RNAcentral. Lineage: Eukaryota; Metazoa; Chordata; Actinopteri; Cichliformes; Cichlidae.
AUCAUUUUUGUAUAUAAUAAAAAAGAAAAAAAAAAUCUGUUCUUAUCAGUUAAUGUCUGAUACGUCCCUACCCGGGACCAUAUAUUAAAUUGAUUUUUGGAGCAGGGAGAUGGAAUAGGGGCUUGCUCCGUCCACUCCACGCAUCGACCUGGUAUUGCAGUAUUUCUAGAACGGUGCACCCCCU